This 72-nucleotide transfer RNA is filed under the name Camelus bactrianus (Bactrian camel). It matches the Rfam family "tRNA". Rfam says of the family: Transfer RNA (tRNA) molecules are approximately 80 nucleotides in length. Their secondary structure includes four short double-helical elements and three loops (D, anti-codon, and T loops). The record is from Rfam by way of RNAcentral. RNAcentral also lists the same sequence under 2 other names. Lineage: Eukaryota; Metazoa; Chordata; Mammalia; Artiodactyla; Camelidae.
GUGGAUACAUCUCAGUGGUAGAGUGCAUGCUUGACAUACACGAGGUCCUGGGUUCAAUCCCCAGUACCUCCG